GGAAACUUUUAAUUUCACAUUGUCGGCAAUAUUUUAUCAACAAAAACUUGAUAGAAUACCUGUUAUAUUUAAUUAAUUAUAGCAUAACAAGUGCUAUACCCUUUCUUUUUAAAAUAAAUGUUACUGUGUUCUCUAAGAAUCUAUGUUAAACAAAAAGAGAUCCCAAAUAUAAAGAAAUCCAACAGUGACAAAUUUUGACAACAAAGUAAAAACUACAAAAGCAAGACAAAAUUGAAACAUAAAAAUCUUGUACUACAGUGAAUCAGUAUGAUUUCAAUGGGAAUUAAUACCUUUAA
This 296-nucleotide unclassified non-coding RNA is filed under the name Hevea brasiliensis (rubber tree). Lineage: Eukaryota; Viridiplantae; Streptophyta; Magnoliopsida; Malpighiales; Euphorbiaceae. The record is from RNAcentral.